Molecule: non-coding RNA, 10142 nt
Organism: Taeniopygia guttata (zebra finch)
Lineage: Eukaryota; Metazoa; Chordata; Aves; Passeriformes; Estrildidae
Source: RefSeq, a predicted model, not a curated record
GACCCGCCCGCCCCGGCUGCACCUGUCUCGGCGCGCCGGGAGCGCGGUGUCCGCCCCGCUGAUGGGGCUGCGGGCGGCACCUUCCCCCGGGGAGGAGGAGAAGGAGGAGGAGAAGGAGGCGAGCCGGUGGCGGAGGUUUUUUAUGACUGUUCCACAUCCUCCUGCUGCUGCUGAAGCCAACGUGGAUGCGAAUGCUGUGGCUACAAAGGCUUGUCACUGUCUCAUGCUGGGUCCCUCAAAUCCAGGAGCUACUUGGCAGUUUCCAAGGCAACCACCUGUGGAAUAAUUAAAAAGGAUGAAGUGUUAGCGUGCCACAUAUAAGGAAUUCUUGCCUGGAGAAAGCGUUUCACUUUCGUCCGUCUUGAAGAAUCAAAAGGUGCUUCUGCCAGCAAAGUUAAGAAGAAGGAACGGUGGCUGAGUUGCACAAGUGAACCAGGACGACGCAAAAUGAAGUCAAAGAGGAAUGCUCAUUUUCCUAUUUCAUGCUGAUCUCAAGAGGGCAUCUUGCAUAUGCCAGAGGAAGAACAUGUUGUUUGAGGGAAAACCUGCCUAUAAAUCUGUGCAAAUGGAAAGGUAAAUAAUUUCUGUUUCCAGUACACUGAUGGAGUAAGAUCUCUGCACUGGUUAUUUUUCCUGCUGUGAAGUAUGUAGUAUAUAAAUGUAUCUGGCAUAUGUAUUUGUCACUGUGCAGCAGCAGAAUGUAGCAAGUGAAUAUCUUUAAAAAAUACUGAUAUCUGCUUCACAGAAUCACAGAAAGGUUUGGGUUGGAAGGGACCUUCAGGACCAUCUAGUUCCAACCCUCUGCCAUAGGAAGGAACACUUUCCACUCUCCCAGGCUGCUCAUUGCCUCAUCUGGCUUCUUCAGCAUCACAAGAAAGGGUUCUAAAGUGCUUUGUUUCACUCUGAAAAUAUUCCUGGCUUGUGUUUCAGGUUUUUUUUGCAGUGUCAUAUGUGGUGGGAGGAGUACAGAAUGUUUGUCUUGCGCUGCAAGGUCCUCUGCAGUGUGUUCCUGAGGCGUGGGAAUUAAGCUGAGGUUAAAACUUGAAGUGGUCUGAUUGAACUUCCUAUCUUUCUUAAUUGUUAUCUUCUUUCUGUGUGAUAAUUUUAAUUUCACUUCCUCUUGGGUAAUCGUGGAGUAGUCUGAGUUUGUGUUAUAUCAGACAAAAAAAAAAAAAAACUACAGACUAAUAAAAGUUUUUGUGCUGUUUACUGUUAUUUUUUAAAGAUACAGAAGAGCAGUUCCUUCCAGGUCACUUCCCAUGCUUUGACAGACAAAGUGCCACGAUGAUGUGUGGAGCAGCACAAAUUAAUCCAGUGCUGGAGAUAAGCAGAGGGGCAGCUUUGAGAGCUCACUUUGUAGGGACAGAAGUGGCUGUGAUCCAGCUCAUGGCACGAGGAUACAAACAGCAGGUGUAGCUUUGGAGUGCUUCAUGACAGGGGCAUUUCUGCUCAGGGGUGGGAUUACAGCUUCUAUUGAAAUUUAUAUAACAGCCACCGUGCCAGGGUGGUUGCUAAAAAUGAUGCUCAUCGCUCUUACAUCCCCAAAGCUGUAAGUCAGAAGAACUAUUCUAAGCUGAAGAAAUAUUUUGGGUUUUUUUUUUAAUUCUUAAUGGCCAUUGUUUUUCUCUCAGACCCCACUGAGAUGAUUUUAAAUGUGUCAGGCAGCGCUGGCAAUGAAAGUAUGUGUUUUUAUAAUGUAAGACUUGGACAAUCAACAAUGAGUUUUGUUUUGGGUGGCUGCUUCAUUAUCAUACCCUCAUUAUCAUACCUAAGCAAUCAACAGGAAUUACUUUUUUUAUUAUGGCUGUCCUGUCCAGUUUCUAAAAUACAACAUCAGCUGCUUUUAUCCAGCAAAUGGUGAUCCAUUUGGGAAAAAAAACAACCUCAGUAUUUUCCUGCCUGUGCUGCCCCAAAGGUUGGUGUUUUGCAGAAGGAGCAGUCAGCUGCUAUGGUGAUGGGCACAGGGUGGGAAUGUGGACAGAAAUAGAGGGAGGCUGAAGCCAGACUGUUCCUGCUUCCUUAUGGUUUCAGUAGCCCUCUCUGAAGUGGAUGGGGACUGAUUCCAAGGAUUUCGCAGGUUAUUUGUGGUUUUCUGCCUCAGAUUCUCACAAUUAGCACAAAAUAAUACUCAGAAAAAAAAGAGUGAGAUUCUCAGAUGGAUAAUGUUUGUACAGGAUGUAUGUAAUUCCCUGCAGAGCAGCUUGUGCCCGUUGUGCUGGGAUGUGGAUGCACAGAAAUCUCCCUCCUCCCAUCCAGACUGAAGUCAGUUUUUGGUAAUGCAUAAUUCAUAUCCUGAAGCCUUUGUCACAAAAAAAUCUUACUGCCUUUCCCCCAGCUCCGUAAGCCUGCUUUUGUAUUUUUAGGAUUUCCUUCCCUGCUAAUCCCCAAAAUCAGCCUGAUGAGGUUUCAAAACAGAGUUCAGAGUAAAUCUGAGACAACCUUUACGUCAAGGAUGUUGCUCUGUGCAGCAGGUAAUUCUCUGGCACCUGCUAUUUAUGGAUUUUGCCUCCACAAAGAAUUACUUCCCUGUGGCACCACUGCCACAGUCAGUGCACAAGUGCACUGCAGCUCGAGGGAUUCUACCAGGAGGUUUGGAUCUAUUUUGGAUACAUCUCACAAGAAAUUCCCGCACACAUAUUUUGUUAUGAAACAAAGACAGCAAUUCUUUUUUUCUUUUUUUUUUGUGAUUUUUUUGUGAGCUCUGAUCCAAAAUUACUCUUUCCAUAGGGAGCAUGAUGCCUGUAUUUAGUGAUGGGUUAGUGGCACACCUCGAUUGCCUGUUCUGACUGUGAGUGCACUCACACAAGUACAGAUUGUGAGGUGUCAUAACGUGGUUAAAAAGUCUGUGUAAAAACCUGGAGGAAAAGAAAAAAAUGAUUCUCAAGUUGUGUUUUGAUUCAUCUCUUUGCAGAACAACACAAUUCAAACAACUUCUGGUGUUUUCCUCUUCCAGAUUCUGAGGACAAGCCUGUCAGUAAUGAAUUGUUCCAGAAGUACACAAAGAAAGCUCUGCAUGGUAGAGGCUGUUUUUCCUCAGGUACAACACAUCCCUGUCCCUCCUUGGUACCUGUUGUUGCAAAUACCAUCAGGCCUUUCCUGCUCAAAGCUUUGAGGAGCUUUGAAAGUACAGAGAUAAAUGCAUGGUGUGCCUGCACAAUGGGAAAAUCGGAUGUUUCACUAGUGGGAAAUAAUUGCUUUCAUUUGAGGGCUCUUUGCCUGUUCCAGAGUAAUGUUCCCCAGAUCUCUUCACUUCGUAGCACUUCUAAGUGCAGCUAAACAAAGCACAGGAAGGAAUGUGAAGUACUGUCAUCAGUGUAGAAAUCUUUUCAGCAAUGGUUUGUCAUUAUUUUUCUCCCAAAUGAUCCAAAUGCUUUUUUUUUUCUUUCCCUUACUGUUUAUAUCAAGACACCACAGACCUUGUGAUAACACUAAAUUCCAGCUGUGGAGGCUUUGAUUGUUUCUUGCACGUUGCUCAUUUUAAGAUGACAGAAUUGUUCAGUGAGAGAAAUUCAAAUGGAAAAAUUCAGGCAAACAGUCCUGUGGGGAAGGUUGAGCUGUGUGUAAAAAUCCAGUAAAAAUUGAGUAAGAACCUCAGAGUUCAAUGUAUUGAUUUUCUUGUGAAAGUUCAAGAACUGUGUUUCCUUGCAGGCUGAAACUCAUCUCAGCUCCUCAUGACCAGCUGAGCGAGAGAGAUGGGAUUUGAUGCUAUCCAAAGUGUAAUUCCACAGUUCAUGUCUUCUGCUAGUUCCAGCUUAAUCAGCUUCUGCCCACUCUCAGCCAUUCAUUUCCAGCUCAGCAGCAAUGCAGUGCCACCUCUUCCCUGACCGUGUGGAAAACCAGAUGACUGAAAAUAACUCAGUCAAGAAUAGAAACUCUUCAUUUUUUUUCCUUUGUAUUAAAAUCAUUUGAAUGAAUUUCGUGGCCCACAGGCAGAUGUAUUGGUGCUGCUGAAGGUGACAGGAAAUGCAGCAUCAGAGGCAGCAGUGAGCACUGUAGGGUGUCCCAGUCCUGUGUGAUCUUGCUGUCAACAAAAAUCUGCUCUGGGACAAUAUCCUGAAUGAAGGGCUUUCACUAACCACGGGAUUAUUUAUUGAACUGCUGCUUUUCAUUUAUUUUAUUAAGGAAGAUUACCAUCUUCUUGUUAGGGCAGGUUUAUUUUUUUUUACUUGAGGAGAUAAACCAUCUCUGUGAGAAGUCAGUCAGCUUUGUGGACAGCCAUGAAUGUCAAUAAAGUCUUGGCAAACACAGUAGGUAUUUAUUCAGCAUUGCAAAUUAAAAACAUUUUUCCUGCUUGUUUAGUGAAGGGAACAAAAAAAGACAAAUUACAGAGCGGAUGAGCUCUCUUGAUAGUUGGAAUUCAUUAAGCUGGUGGUGAAAACACUGGGGGAUUGAUGGUGCAGAAAAAGAAAAGAUGAGGCAGCUUUUCCCCAAUAGCUGUGGCUCAAGUUCAAGUUGAAAAUGACAAAAAAAAAAAAAUCCCUUAAAGACAUCUGUAACUGACUUUCACAAUCCCAGUUUCUGUCUGGAUAGACAGUUCUUUCUCACUGUAGUUAGUAUUAAUUGGUUUUUCAGUUGACAGAUAAUUUCUCAGUGGCUCCUGCAUCUCCAUUAUGCCAUGGGGUGUCUGCAGCAGCUCAUAAAUGAGAUCCAUGGCCAGACAUUAAGUGAGAAGUUCACACAGACCCUUCCCAUGGUACAGACAGAGCCUUUCUGCAGACUAGUCACUCUGUCAUCUUCCCUCAGCUCCACAUUUUAUUAUUAUUUUAAAAAAAAAGUAUUUAAAAAGUUACAGUAAGUUAAGCAGUUUGUCAGAUGUGAUGUUCUCACAGGCCAUUGUCUGCAGAUUCCAGGCUGCCUCUGCCUUUCAGAUGGAUCGUAAAGCUGUCGUGAGUGCAGCUCUAACAAAAUCCAUUUACACGGCUCCUGUUAUGGCAGGGCAUGGAAAGGAAGCUGUAGGAUUUAUUUUUUAAUGAAUUUCCUGUACAGAAUCAUUAGUCCACCAUGGAAGUCUUUCCAAGUCACACCCAGUGCAGCUCUGUCUGAUUAUCCCUGAUGAAUGGGAUAAAAAGCCCACCGCAGACACUUGGAGUCACAGACAGUUCUCAUGUCAUUCCAAGUACAGGAAUUCUGCACUUCAUCAUUAGAAGAGAGAGGGUUCCCUAGUAAGUGUUUAAAUGCAGCUAAACCACCUGUAAAUCACUAGAAUUAUUCAACAGCAAAACAAAGCCUUUGUAAACUUCAUUCUUGCAGUGCUCUAAUUGCAGACAAAACUUUACCCAUUCAAGUGAUCCCAUCAAUGUCAAAUAAAAACAUGAAUUAUGAAGCUUGUAAGAUUAGAGCUUGAAGUCACUGACAUGUCAUUCCCAUAAUUUUCUCUGGAGAAUUACAGAACACUUAAUUUGUAACUGCAGAAACCUAAGUGUAAUCAGACGCUCUUCCAUCUACAGUUUUUAUCUAAGUCAUUGAAUUCUGGAUUUGUUCUUUCCUGUUUCCCAAGUUCUUACUUGUAAAUGUGAAGACAUUAACUGCCUUUCUUCUUCUUCCCUGUUCAACGAGGAAGUUGCCCUCAGCUCUUUGAUCAUUAAAUCUGGGAAGGAUGGAGCAGUCCAAGAUUUGAAAAUGUUUUAAAACUUCCAGCACCUAAUUAGAAGGAGGCAUCUUGCAGCAGCACAAUAGCUCUCUCUCUGCAGUUCAUUUGGUUUUCCAAUUGAGAAAUGACAGUUUACAGCCCUGGUGUGAGCGUGUUUCUCAUUAGCCUGUUCUAGGAGCACGCAGAGUUACUGCAAGUUUUGAAAGAUGCUUUCUUCAAAAGUGCAAAUGAUAUUAAAUGGCACAAUUUGCUCUCUGGAUAGCCACAUGGAGAAGCUGUGGCCUGCAGCCAUCCUAAGGCCAGUGGUAAAGGCAGAGCCAGGCAGCUGGACCUCAGCUUCAAAUCCGUGGAUGUCAUGGAUGCAACUGCAUGGAAAAGAUGCUGCAGCAGGAAGUCUUCUUGUCCAGGGGAGACAGAUGUGAAUUGUCUGUGCUUUCCUCGUUUAACAGAUGGAUCUCAGGUUUCUUGGCCUUUUCUUGUGAAGAUUUUCUUGGAGAGGAGUGUGUUAGCUGUGCUGCUGACAGAUACCCUCAUGAGAACUGUCCACAGUGGCUUGAUUUCCCUCUUCAGGAGCUGGAUUCCUGGUCUGAGCUGGCUGAGUUUGUUGUCCUUGGAGUAAAUGAACACAGAGUGAUGAAACUCAAGGAACAGGUGUAAUUCCUUUUUUUUAACAUAGUUUUCUGCCCCCUGAAGAGGAGAUUGAGAAUAUUUGCCCAUCCUCAGGACUCAACUGAUGGGUUCAUCUUGCAUGGUGGUUUAGGGUCUGGAAUGCCAGUUCUACAAGGACUGGCUGAGGAUUGAAAAGGAGACUCGGGGAAGUCCUUAUUUGCCUGAAGACCAAUAUUUACCUGAAAGGAGGUGGUGGUGAGGUGGGAGUCAGCCUCUUCUCCCAGGUAACAAGUGACAGGAAAUGGCAAACAGCCUCAAGUUUCUCCAGCAGAGGUUCAGGCUGGACACUAGGAAAAAUUUCUUCACUGAAAGAGUGGUUAAGCAUUGAAACAGGCUGAGGGCAGAGGUGGAGUCACCAUCCCUGGAAGUGUUCAAAAAACAAGUGGACCUGGCACUUCAUGAUACAGUUUAGUGAGCAUGGUGGUAUUAAAUCAAAGGUUGGGCUCAAUAAUCUUGGAGGUAUUCUCCAACCUCAGUGAUUCUGUGGUUCUAGUCAAUUAAAAUCAGCUUUCACAGGGCUUCCAGAGGCAGGUAUGGAGCACACCCAGGUGUAAUAAACUACAGGGAGGGGAAAAGAUGCUUCACUCUUCUUGAAAACACUGCAGCGAGGCAAAAUUUUGGACUUCUGCACGGCUGAAGGAAAAAGAGUUUGGUCCUGCCUGGACUUUAAAGCAGCUUUAUUUUACCCAUUAGUGUUUUGUGAGGCUGUGUGGAAGAUUCCCAGGCAGCUGCACGCUCAGGGCAGGGCCCGGGGACACGGGCACAGCUCCGUCCUGAUGCUUCCUGCCUGCUCUGCUCCACACAGGCACUUUCUGGACAGAAAAGCUGCACAAUAAAUCCAGUGCUGAUGUGGCCUGGCGUGGUGACAGCUCUUCCAGUAACUGCAGGAACUGCCUGCUUAUAGAGGCCUGGCCUGCUCCGAUGGAGUGUUUUCCUUAAAGCUGUUGUUCUGCACCAGAUGAGGCACACGGUGUCUUUGUGCCUCCCUCUGCCAUGCAGACACUUUGUGGUGCCUUCUGUGCCACUGCCCAGGGUGAUUUGUUCCUUUCUAGAGGCUGUGAUGGACCUGAGUGCUUCCCAGAACAUGUCACUGAGAGCAGGGCUGUGCAAACACUCAAGACUUGUUCAGCAUCGCUCUGCAGAUGUACUCCGGGUCUGUUCUGCCAGCUGACAUGAGGGGCUGCAGAAAGAUGAUGAAAAAAGAAAAAAAUACCUGUUUGGAAGGGAAUAAAUUGUCUAGGACACACUUCACUAGCAGAUUUCCAGGAAACAACCCUCUGUCAGAUUUCUUAGAAGCUGUUGUGGCUCCCAGUGCUAAGUGCCAAGUCUGAAUAGCCCAUCAUCAACUCAGUCCUUAACGUCAGGUUUGGUGACGCGCUUUUCCCCUAAUUUGCAAAUCCCACCUCAGCCAGAGCUAGCUGACAGGUGGGCAGGUUUCCAAGCUCUCUGCAUAACCUUUGGGAUGACUAUUGAACCUUUAGGCACUGACAUGCAGCUUCUGUCACACGUUAGUCUUGGUGUGCUGCUGCUGUUGAAGUGAAGAUUUGGUAACAUCUUACGUGUUUCGCUGUCACAAGAGGGAGUUUUGUAGCAGUGCUGCCCUUGCUGGUGUGUUUGGAUGCAGUCUGGCUGUGGGCAGAGCUCAGCAGACAGAAUGUGUUAAUAGAAGACAGCAGCACAAGCAGGAUGAAUGUCUUUCAUUCCUUGUUAAAGCCUUGUACAUGUUGUUCAAGCCUGACUAACAAAAUUCCUCUGAGUGACACUGCUGCAAGCAAUUCUCUUGCUGUUGGUAGCACUGUAAUAGAAAACAGAAGUGAGCAUUUGAGUGACUCAAAAACCAAAAUCAAGGGUAAGAAUAAGAAAAAAGCAUCAACUGUUUUAACAGGAAAAAUAAAAACCCAACGUGGCUAGGUAUUCUUCUGUGGCAUUUCCAAUUUAUUGUUACAGGAAUAUCCUCCCAGCUAGACUCAAGCUCCCUCAGGAAGCUGGUUUCAUAUGGUGGUUUAGAUUUAACUAUUCAUUGUCUAGCACCAUUUGAAAUCAGUGUUCUUGGAGGAAGAAUGCCUGCCUUCAUCAGGGAAAUGGACCCUCGGGAGCCUCAGAGGAAAAGAAGAGAAAGUCAAGAUCUUCCUUGUGUGGCUCUGCCAUUCCGAUUAACCUCCACCACCAAACCAAGUCCCUCAGUGGGACUCCAGGGGUCUGUGACCCAGAGCAAUGUAAAGAGUGAUUUCAAAGGCAGAAAUUCUGCUGUCAUCAUGUUUAUAAUAUUUGUGAGUACUGAGCAACAACUUCAGAACUCAGGAAGAUUUUGAGACAGAAACAAGGCAAAAAAAGUAACAUACAGAAUUGUAACACAGGAUUGAAGGUGUUGAUUUUAAUGCCCCAACUAGUAAAAACUACUACAGCUAGUUCAUACAACAUGGUGAGGAAUAAGCAGGGAACUACAUUUGCUCUAAAUUCUUAACUCAAAACCUAUUUUCAGCCUUACCUAGAUCUAUUUUUCUUACCACUUCAUCACACUUGUAAAUACUUUGUCAUACAAGACAAUCAAAUUUGAAACAGGUAAUUCUGCAUGGAAGCACUGGGAAUUCUGGAUGCUGUUUGCAUCCCUCCUGAGUGUUUGGCUUUUUGUUGUGGCAUGUUUGGCAGAUUAGAAUGUGCUGCUUAUUUUGUGUGACAAGACUUGCCAGCGUGCAGGUUGGUGGUUGGAUGGGCUCAUGGAAAUGGCCAACAACUGAGAGUUAGACCACAGGUGGUUGGACAUACUCUCCAAGUCUACUGAAAUCUGGAGAAGUCUUUCAAGAUUGUAUUUUUUGAAGUGUUUUACUGUAUUAAAAAAAUGUGUGUACCUAAUUUGAAAAUUUUCACUGUCUAAACCUCUGUUUUUUCACCAGUGCUUUAAUAAGAAUUAUAUCAAGUAUUUGGGGAUUCUCCAAUGUGAAAUGCUGUCGACCACAUAACUCUUCAUCCUUGCAGAUCUCCGUAACCCCUUUAGAGGAUGACUGAUUUCUUUUGGUGUUCAGAGUCAAUAAUAAUUUCUAGCACCAUUUGAAAUCGGUUAUAGUGAUUGGGGAAUUGCACCUUGUGAAUUUUUACAGAAGAGGCUCCGGAGAGAAGCUUUAUUGAUACGAAAACAGGGAAGUGUGUUAUUUUAGUGAAUGGAGUUGCAGAAAUGCUGCAAGUUUAAUCUCUGGGAGGUGGAGAAUUGUAAAAACGUAUAACCCAAGAUCUUGGUUUAGGUCCUCUGUGUGAAGAUGAUCCUUGGAAUGUUUUGGAAAACCUUACAGUGCUGAGAGGGAAGAUCAAGGGAGAUGGUUUUCCAAAUGAGAAUAAUCAGUGUGGACUUUGGCUGGAAGAAGAAGAACCCCACCCUGUUGUCUUAAUGAUCUGUGUGUGAGGUAUGAGGAAAUAAAAGGAGCAGCAGAAAACCUUCCAAUCUGCAGCUCCCAUACUCUGGAUGUGCUGAAAGCAAGAUCUCAUGGAGGUUUUCCCUGCCAGCCUGAGAGCUUCUUCCAUUCUCCUCUCAUACACCCCUUACAGAGUAAGUCAUAAAGAACCUGAGUCACCUCUCCAAGGGUGUUUAAUAUAUAUUAAUUCCUCUGAAAUUUCAGUUGUUCAGAGACACAGCUGGCUGGAAGCCGAGUCGAAGGUGGGUCCUGUCCCCAGUUCCAGCAGGACCUCAUUACCCAUGAAGAUAAUCUCUGAAAAAUCAUCCUUCAAUCAGCUGGUCAUUCUACAUCCAGCUUUUUGGGAGUUAAUAACACCAACCAACCUACAGCAGCACAUCACACACCAACCUGCAGCAAGGCAUCCCUGUAGCAGGGGAUGUUUCCCUGGACGUCCUGGUGAGUUCAGCUUUUUCCGCUAUUCCAUAUGGAGUAAC